RNAcentral lists this unclassified non-coding RNA (3145 nucleotides) under Polistes canadensis. RNAcentral's name for it is "tubulin--tyrosine ligase-like protein 12, transcript variant X1". Lineage: Eukaryota; Metazoa; Arthropoda; Insecta; Hymenoptera; Vespidae. The record is from RNAcentral.
AAACAAUAUGAAGUGAGCAUAUAGUUAGUAGACCAAUAGAUACCGUAUUAAGUCUAAGUUAAAGAGGUUAGAAUGGAUGGAAUUGGAUUGUAUCGUAUAUUUUUACAAACACAUCAACCCCAGCUUAAGUCUUCCGGAGUACCAAAAAUAUUUUGGGAAGCUUUAUAUAAUAAAUUAAAAAAUCAGGAUUUCGAUGCCGGUAGUGCAUUUCAAUUGGCAAGAAUUGAUUAUGAAGAUGAUGAAAGAGAGCCUAAGGAUCCCAUUUGGAAAUUGUUUGUGUCAGCAGAAAAUGGUAUUUCUAUGAUAGAUCCAAAUAAUAUAUAUUUAGUGGAUCACGCGUGGACAUAUGAUACACUUAAUGCGAGAGAAAAUUUAACCAAUGUACCAGCCCUCUUAGAUAGAAUGUGUUCUCUUAUGGGAUAUGAUAUUGAUAACGAAGAGAACGAAAAGAUUGAAUUUGUACUUAAGGAAAUGUGGAGAUAUAAUCAGUCAUUCUCUCUUAACAGUGGUACCAUAGAAGAUAGAAUGCCCAUUUGGUAUAUAAUGGAUGAAGUUGGAUCCGCUAUAAAUCAUAGCGAUUAUCCUAACUUUAGGACCGUACCAUUUCUUUAUUUACCAGAAGGUGUAACGUAUACACUUUUAUUUCCUAUAAAGGAUGUUAAAUUCGAAGAAGAAGUUACCAGAGAUUUUAUCGAUGGUCAAACUAGUGAUUUAAAGAAAAGACAAGCAUUAUUAUUACCAUGGAUAGAUAAUUCUUUUAUUAAUAAAAGUUUCGUUCAGGAUAGUCCAAGCGAAGAUUAUUUUUUGGCUGGUCAUAUAUUAGAAGAUGUGCCUGACAAAAUAAACUUAGAAGAAGCAAUCGUACGAGGACCAAAUGAAAAACUUAAAGUUUAUUCUGAAUAUAGUUUUGUAAAUAAUUAUUUAACAGAUACCGCAUUUGAAAUUGUAGACAGGGAAGAAGAUGCUGAUAUUUUAUGGUACACUUCUCAUUUCAAGGAAUACAAAGAAUUAUGCAUUCGUAUGCCUCAUGUUUUCGUCAAUCAAUUUCCUUUCGAAAAUAUCUUGACAAUAAAGGAUCUUUUGUCCAUCGUAUGUAGACGUAAGGCAUCGGAGAAAUCUUACGAUGUUGAUACAUUAGAAACUUAUCCAAUAUGGUUACCAACGACAUAUAAUUUAAAUACAGAAUUGGUACAAUUUGUCGCAUAUUUUGAACAACGAGAAUCGAAAAACUUGGACAAUCUGUGGAUCUGCAAACCAUGGAAUUUGGCAAGAGGUUUGGAUACUCAUAUUACAGACAAUCUUUUUCACAUCUUACGAUUACCUAGUACUGGUCCUAAAAUUGCACAAAAAUAUAUAUCUGAACCUGUGUUAUAUGAUAGACCAGAAAUAGGUUUCGUUAAAUUCGAUAUAAGAUACGUCGUCAUGUUAAAAUCUGUCUCACCAUUGAAAGCAUACGCCUAUUCCAAUUUCUUCUUAAGAUUUGCUAACAAAGAAUUUGCAUUAAACAAUUUCGACGUAUACGAACAACACUUUACCGUAAUGAAUUAUUCCGAAAAUACGGAUCUAUGCCAUUUGAAAUGUGCCGAUUUUAUCGUUGAAUGGGAAAAACAAUAUCCCGAUUAUCCUUGGACAUCAUUUAUCGAGCCAACGAUAUUAAACAUGUUUAAGGAUAUAUUCGAAGCUGCUGUAGCUGAAAAACCACCGAAAGGAAUAGCUCAUUUUCCACAAAGUAGGGCCGUAUACGCCAUUGAUUUGAUGUUGGAAUGGAAUAAAAGCGAGAUGCAACCGAUUCUAUUGGAAAUUAAUUUUUCGCCAGAUUGCAAAAGGGCUUGCGAAUAUUAUCCUGAUUUUUAUAACGAUAUAUUCAAUUGCCUUUUCUUAGAUAAAUAUAAUCCUGACGUAUUCCAUGAUUUAUUUCCAACAUCAUCAUUGUCGAACAAUUAAAAAUAUUGUUAUUCAUUGAACUAUAAAAGCACAAAGUGUAUAUCCUAAGUGUAUUAUACCCAUUUUCAUAAGUAUCGAAAAGCUAUUAGCCGAAAGUAUCAAGAAUAUUGCUAUCGCAACCAGCAACACAAGAGGAUUUACUUAUUCAGAAUACGGAGGAAGGGGCUUUCAUUUGGAAGUCGUCUGAUGCAGCCACUUAAUGGAAUAAUAAACGAGGAAACAAUUAGAACAGUUUCAUGACAUAGUUAGCUCAUGGUCAACUGUGUAACCUUGUGUUCUGGUAACAUAGGGUGAGACACAUUGUUUAAUGGAGAAAGGUCUCUAUACGGUACUCUACUUAUGGUGUAUCUCCAAUUGGCUAGUUCUACUGUGAGAUUUGACUAUCAAACAAAAUUGAUUAAUUAAUCCUAACAAACGUAUAAUAUAUACAGUUAUUUAAAAAAAAAGUUUUGUUUUAUUUACAACAAAAAAAUAAAUAAAUGAUUAAGAUUUCAUAUAUAUAUAUAUAUAAACUUACGGAAAAGUUGAAUCGUUUUAUAGCAUGUCUGAACGAUUUAACGCGAGCUUUUGCGACAAAAAAAAAUAAAAUACAAAAAAAACAAAAAAAAAAAAGAAAAACAGAAAGAACACUUUUAUUACGCUUUCGAAAAGUGCGUCCAGGUCGACGUAUAUUUAUAGCAAUUUUUAAUGGGACGAUGAUAUGUCGCCUCAUUUUGUAUUUAUUACAUAGUUAAAAUUAAUAGGCAUAUCCUUGUCUGUGAAUACAUCGUUAUAAAUCAAGCGAUUAUUUUUCAAAUUAUUUUUUUGUUCGUCCGUUUUCGGCCAUUCUCUUUCUUUCACUCUCUCUCUCUCUCUCUCUCUUCGACUACAAUCAUUCCCGGUAAUAACGGAAUUGCACAAUGUAUUUUGUUAAUUAUCUUCGUAUCCGUUAUUCCCUUGUUUGACAAUGACGCCCAACGGUACGCGUAUACGUAAAACCCCCAUUGUUCUCAUAUUUUCCAUAGUGAAAAAAAUGCCAGUUUUUUUUUUAUAAAUAUAUUUUUUUAAUACUUUUUUUUUUUUAAGAUUCUCGAGAUUAAUGUUAUACUCGCGCGUAAUGUCAGAACGAAUGAAUUUCAACGACGACGUUGUUCUGUAAUGGAUUUUUUUUUAAUUUGAUUUUAUUGAUUAUUCUUUUAAAACGCAAUGUAUAAAUAAGAAA